Molecule: unclassified non-coding RNA, 275 nt
Filed under: Hevea brasiliensis (rubber tree)
Lineage: Eukaryota; Viridiplantae; Streptophyta; Magnoliopsida; Malpighiales; Euphorbiaceae
Source: RNAcentral
AAUAAGUUUCUAAAUAUAUUUUAUAAUAUUUUUAAAAUUUUUUUGAAUUGGAAAAUUUUUUUUUAUUAUUGAAAAGUGAAUGUGUUUUCCAUAUUUCCCCUUGUUUUGUAUGGAAAAUGAAAAACAAAGAAUUGUCUUUCACAAGUAUACAGGUGCUACAAGUUUGUGUUUUCAUCUAAGUAUUCAACAUAUGUUAUCCUAAAUUGUUUUUGGUAAAUUUAAUGUGUAACAAGUUUUGAGUCCAGUACUAGUUUGGAAGUGGUCAUUGGGGCGCG